UGUGUUGUGGCUCAGUGGUAGAGUGCUUACCUUGCAUGCAUGGACCACUGGGUUUGAUCCUCAGCACCACAU
Molecule: transfer RNA, 72 nt
Filed under: Marmota marmota marmota (Alpine marmot)
Lineage: Eukaryota; Metazoa; Chordata; Mammalia; Rodentia; Sciuridae
Also listed under: 1 other name
Rfam family: tRNA
About the family: Transfer RNA (tRNA) molecules are approximately 80 nucleotides in length. Their secondary structure includes four short double-helical elements and three loops (D, anti-codon, and T loops).
Source: Rfam by way of RNAcentral